AGUGAACGCUGGCGGUAGGCCUAACACAUGCAAGUCGAACGGCAGCACAGUAAGAGCUUGCUCUUACGGGUGGCGAGUGGCGGACGGGUGAGGAAUACAUCGGAAUCUACUUUUUCGUGGGGGAUAACGUAGGGAAACUUACGCUAAUACCGCAUACGACCUACGGGUGAAAGCAGGGGAUCUUCGGACCUUGCGCGAUUGAAUGAGCCGAUGUCGGAUUAGCUAGUUGGCGGGGUAAAGGCCCACCAAGGCGACGAUCCGUAGCUGGUCUGAGAGGAUGAGUAGCCACAAGGGAACUGAGACAGGGUCCAGACGCAGACGGGAGGCAGCAGUGGGGAAUAGUGGACAAUGGGCGCAAGCCUGAUCCAGCCAUACCGCGGGGGGGAAGAAGGCCUGCGGGAUGUAAAGCCCUUUUGGUGGGAAAGAAAAGAAGCAGGUUAAUACCCCGCUGGGCUGACGGGACCCAAAGAAUAGGCACCGGCUAGCUUCGUG
RNAcentral lists this ribosomal RNA (492 nucleotides) under uncultured bacterium. RNAcentral describes it as "partial 16S ribosomal RNA". It matches the Rfam family "Bacterial small subunit ribosomal RNA", at positions 30 to 507 of the family's 1533-position model. The record is from RNAcentral.